This 446-nucleotide ribosomal RNA is filed under the name uncultured bacterium. Its description in RNAcentral is "partial 16S ribosomal RNA". It matches the Rfam family "Bacterial small subunit ribosomal RNA", at positions 330 to 792 of the family's 1533-position model. The record is from RNAcentral.
UCCAGACUCCUACGGGAGGCAGCAGUGGGGAAUAUUGCACAAUGGGGGAAACCCUGAUGCAGCAACGCCGCGUGAGUGAAGAAGUAUUUCGGUAUGUAAAGCUCUAUCAGCAGGGAAGAAGAAAGACGGUACCUGACUAAGAAGCCCCGGCUAACUACGUGCCAGCAGCCGCGGUAAUACGUAGGGGGCAAGCGUUAUCCGGAUUUACUGGGUGUAAAGGGCGAGUAGGCGGGAUUGCAAGUCAGAUGUGAAAACUAUGGGCUCAACCGAUAGAGUGCAUUUGAAACUGCAGUUCUUGAGUGAUGGAGAGGCAGGCGGAAUUCCCGGUGUAGCGGUGAAAUGCGUAGAUAUUAGGAGGAACACCAGUGGCGAAGGCGGCCUGCUGGACGAUGACUGACGUUGAGGCUCGAAAGCGUGGGGAGCAAACAGGAUUAAAUACCCGUGUA